Daphnia pulex (common water flea) is the source of this 1449-nucleotide long non-coding RNA. RefSeq lists it as uncharacterized. The record is from RefSeq and is a predicted model, not a curated record. The transcript has 3 exons. Lineage: Eukaryota; Metazoa; Arthropoda; Branchiopoda; Diplostraca; Daphniidae.
GAGAGAGUAGAUAACUUUGCUCGUUUUUCCCCCGACCAGUUCUUUUUUCUUUUCUUUUUUGUGUUCCUUUGGAAUAAUCAACAGUGAAAACUUUCUCUUCCAACAACCCAACAAAAAACACGCUCUUCUCUCCCUCUGUGCCUCUGUGUUUAGGUGUGUUCCAGUCGGAUUGAAUUGUGUGUCAUCAGCCAAAAAAAUGAAGCGAAAUUUCGAAAAAAAAGCAACAGAUUGUUAUGAAGGCAAGGUCUCGCUAGUUCACAUGCUGGUCUCACUCUAGAAGAAUUUGGGUGUUUCUUUUUCUUCUUCUUCUUCUUCUUCCAGUCGUUCACGGCUGUUUGGCUUCGUGCCAGGUAAUCUCGCCCGAUGGCUCCAGGGCAAGAAGAAAAAAAAACACGGAGGGGAGAAAAAGCAAAAGCAAAGUGAACAUUAUAUAGCCGAAGAGAAUGAAAAAGAGGCCAUCCACUACUACACCAAACACACACACAAUCGACGAGGGUGAGGAGGGGGGCGCAGCUCUUUCGUUUUUUUCUUAUUCUUCUGUUUGGCUGACGCCGGGGCUAAUAACACCUGAAAUGCAAUCGACGCCAGAAGCCAAUAUUCAUUUUUCCAGUCUGCUGGAUGAGAUUUAGAUCUUUAUAUCAGCGCCAAAGAUUUUUCCAAACGAAAUAGCUCACACAGUUAUUCAAUUCCGACGAAUUUGUAAUACAAGAAGAAAAAAGAAAAAAAAAGAAGAAAUACUUUGUGCGUUAUUUCCCAAUUUGGUCAGAUCCAGCAACCGGCUGGGGCCACCAGCGGAGGGAGGACUCCUCUCAUCCACAUACCUGUGCGAUGCCUUUGUGAUUCUUUAUUCUUUCGACUGGAUGGAUGUAAUAUUCUUCAGUCAAUGCCAACUGGCUUUCUGCUGCUGCUGCAAAGACUUGAAGGAGAUUUCCUUCUUUCGCUAUAUAUUCUUCGCCAUUCUUAUGCUGCUGCCCUUCUCUUUUUUUUUUUCUACUUCUUCUUCUCCCGGGAUAAUUACUCUUUGCGUGAAGGGAUUUCUGACGUCAAUACAACACGCGAGCAAGUCCUGGUAGUGCACCACCACCACCACUGUGCCAAGAGGGAAAAAAAAGACGUGCGUGAAAAAAAGAAUUCGUCCUGACGAGCUGUCACGUCUCCCGCUGCUAUUCACGUUGGCCACUGGAGGAGACGCGGUCCAUAAUAAAGCCGGCGGCACCUAAUCCCUGGGCUGAUUGCGCCCACUGUUGUUGUGUCGUGUAUAGUUGUCUGUGUCCAGCUGAGCCUGGGCGCUCACGUGAAAUAAGGGACGACUAUAUACGGCCGGAUUCACGGACUGACCGUGAACAAACAGAAACUCAACGGCUAACCCAGGCGGACACGCUAUUUUUAAGUUAAGGCAUUUUCUCUUUUCUUUUUUAAGAGUUAAAUCAUAUCCGUUAGACUGUUACC